RNAcentral lists this ribosomal RNA (551 nucleotides) under uncultured Methanosaeta sp. RNAcentral's name for it is "bacterial SSU rRNA". It matches the Rfam family "Archaeal small subunit ribosomal RNA", at positions 24 to 580 of the family's 1478-position model. The record is from RNAcentral. Lineage: Archaea; Methanobacteriati; Methanobacteriota; Methanomicrobia; Methanotrichales; Methanotrichaceae.
UUACCGCUAUCGAGGUUCGACUAAGCCAUGCGAGUCGAAUGUAGCAAUACAUGGCGUACUGCUCAGUAACACGUGGACAACCUACCCUUGGGUCGGGGAUAAACCCGGGAAACUGGGUAUAAUACCCGAUAGCCCUCGGCUGCUGGAAUGCAUCGAGUGCAAAAACUCCGGUGCCCAAGGAUGGGUCUGCGGCCUAUCAGGUAGUAGUGGGUGUAGCGUACCUACUAGCCUACGACGGGUACGGGUUGUGGGAGCAAGAGCCCGGAGAUGGAUUCUGAGACACGAAUCCAGGCCCUACGGGGUGCAGCAGGCGCGAAAACUUUACAAUGCCGGCAACGGCGAUAAGGGGACCUCGAGUGCCAGGUUACAAAUCUGGCUGUCGUGAUGCCUAAAAAGCAUUGCAUAGCAAGGGCCGGGCAAGACCGGUGCCAGCCGCCGCGGUAACACCGGCGGCUCGAGUGGUAACCGUUAUUAUUGGGUCUAAAGGGUCUGUAGCCGGCCGGAUAAGUCUCUUGGGAAAUCUGGCAGCUUAACUGUCAGGCUUUCAGGAG